This is a non-coding RNA of Podarcis lilfordi (Lilford's wall lizard), 80 nucleotides long. The record is from the annotation of a GenBank genome assembly. Lineage: Eukaryota; Metazoa; Chordata; Lepidosauria; Squamata; Lacertidae.
CCCCACAUAGCUCAGUGGUAGAGCAUCUGCCUUGCAAGCAGAAGGUCCCAGGUUCAAUCCCCAGCAUCUCCUAGCAGGGU